ACCAGUUGCUAUAACCCCAUUGAAUGGGUUUACCUGCAUCACAUCAGUACGACCUAACCCAGUGCGGAAGGAACCGACCAUGCUACCAGUUGUUACAUCUUGAUAGUGAAGCUGUCCAAACUUGUUUAUUGAUGCCAAAAGGAAGUGAUUUUUCAGAAAUUGAAGCCUCAAGACUGAUCCAUGCUCCUUAAGGCAAUGAAGCUCUG
Molecule: unclassified non-coding RNA, 206 nt
Filed under: Hevea brasiliensis (rubber tree)
Lineage: Eukaryota; Viridiplantae; Streptophyta; Magnoliopsida; Malpighiales; Euphorbiaceae
Source: RNAcentral